RNAcentral lists this long non-coding RNA (321 nucleotides) under Mus musculus (house mouse). RNAcentral describes it as "long non-coding RNA chr7:113571181-113571502". The record is from RNAcentral. Lineage: Eukaryota; Metazoa; Chordata; Mammalia; Rodentia; Muridae.
UAGGUUCUUCACCAGUAGUAGAUCUGACUUCAUUUAAAGGAUUAUUCAUUUUCAUAGAGAUUGAGUGAAGUACUUGGCGGGGGUGCUGAGAGUGUGUCAGGAUGGGGUUAGAGUGUAAAUGGCUUUGUAAGCAUUCCUUUCUAGGCUGACUUCCAGCUCUGACUUGAAACCGUUUGCACCGACUUGCUCUGCUUUAAGAAAAACAUUCUAACUGCAUGAGAAGCUUAGAGAAAAGGGUAUGUGCUGCGUAACUUACUACAAAAAAUGAGUUUAUCAGUCUGUUUAUAUAUGAAAUAUUUUCUUAAUAAAGAAAAUUUGAGC